Molecule: ribosomal RNA, 503 nt
Filed under: uncultured bacterium
Lineage: Bacteria
Description: partial 16S ribosomal RNA
Rfam family: Bacterial small subunit ribosomal RNA
Source: RNAcentral
AUUGAACGCUGGCGGCAGGCUUAACACAUGCAAGUCGAGCGGGGUGAUGGUGCUUGCACUAUCACUUAGCGGCGGACGGGUGAGUAAUGCUUAGGAAUCUGCCUAUUAGUGGGGGACAACAUCUCGAAAGGGAUGCUAAUACCGCAUACGUCCUACGGGAGAAAGCAGGGGAUCACUUGUGACCUUGCGCUAAUAGAUGAGCGUAAGUCGGAUUAGCUAGUUGGUGGGGUAAAGGCCUACCAAGGCGACGAUCUGUAGCGGGUCUGAGAGUAUGCUCCGCCACACUGGAACUGAGACACGGCCCAGACUCCUACGUGAGGCAGCAGUGGCGAAUAUUGGCCAAUGUGGGGAACCCUGAUCCAGCCAUGCCGCGUGUGUGAAGAAGGCCUUAUGGUUGUAAAGCACUUUAAGCGAGGAGGAGUCUCUUUUGGUUAAUACCCAAGAUGAGUGGACGUUACUCGCAGAAUAAGCACCGGCUAACUCUGUGCCAGCCGCCGCCGUAA